This is a non-coding RNA of Callithrix jacchus (white-tufted-ear marmoset), 5950 nucleotides long. NCBI's taxonomy places the organism in Eukaryota, Metazoa, Chordata, Mammalia, Primates, Cebidae. The record is from RefSeq and is a predicted model, not a curated record.
UCGGAGUUUACCCCGCCCCCCCCCCGCCUCCUGGCUAAAGCGUGAGGCUGCGAGCGGUCUCUCUCUUGGCUGCUUCUCUUGCCUGCUUCUCUUGGCUCCGACGACCUGUAAUUAUGGGGCAGGAGCCGCGGACGCUGCCGCCCUCUCCCAACUGGUACUGCGCCCGCUGCAGCGAUGCCGUGCCCGGGGGCCUCUUUGGCUUCGCCGCGCGGACCUCCGUCUUCCUUGUCCGCGUGGGCCCGGACGCAGGCGAGAGUCCUGGGACACCUCCGUUUCGAGUCAUAGGAGAGUUGGUGGGACACACCGAGAGGGUCUCUGGCUUCACAUUUUCUCAUCACCCUGGUCAGUACAACCUGUGUGCCACCAGCUCCGACGAUGGGACUGUUAAAAUAUGGGACGUAGAGACAAAAACAGUUGUGACAGAACAUGCACUCCAUCAGCAUACGAUAUCAACAUUACAUUGGUCUCCUCGAGUAAAGGACUUAAUAGUAUCUGGGGAUGAAAAAGGGGUAGUUUUCUGUUACUGGCUUAACAGAAAUGACAGCCAGCACCUCUUUAUAGAACCCAGGACAAUUUUCUGUCUUACUUGUUCACCUCAUCAUGAAGAUUUAGUAGCCAUUGGGUACAAAGAUGGCAUAGUGGUUAUAAUUGACAUCAGUAAGAAAGGAGAAGUUAUUCAUAGGCUUCGAGGCCAUGAUGAUGAAAUCCACUCCAUAGCCUGGUGUCCCCUGCCUGGUGAAGAUUGUUUAUCUAUAAACCAAGAGGAAACAUCAGAAGACCCUGAAAUUACCAACGGGAAUGCUUUGGCACAAGUUCCAGUAACAAUUGGCUGCUACUUAGCCACUGGAAGCAAAGAUCAAACUGUUAGAAUCUGGAGCUGUUCGAGAGGCCGAGGGGUGAUGAUUUUGAAAUUGCCCUUUCUGAAGAGAAGAGGAGGGGGUAUAGACCCAACUGUUAAAGAGCGCCUUUGGCUGACACUCCAUUGGCCCAGCAAUCAGCCGUCACAGCUGGUAUCUAGCUGUUUUGGAGGUGAACUGUUGCAAUGGGAUCUCACUCAGUCUUGGAGACGGAAAUACACCCUCUUUAGUGCUUCAUCAGAAGGGCAAAAUCAUUCAAGAAUUGUGUUUAAUUUAUGUCCUCUACAAACAGAGGAUGACAAACAGCUGCUACUUUCUACAUCAAUGGAUAGAGAUGUAAAAUGUUGGGACAUGGCCACCCUGGAUUGCUGCUGGACCCUGCCUUCCCUUGGUGGGUUUGCAUACAGCCUGGCUUUCUCUCCUGUGGACAUAGGCUCUUUGGCCAUAGGUGUUGGGGAUGGCAUGAUCCGUGUAUGGAAUACACUCUCCAUAAAGAACAACUAUGAUGUGAAAAAUUUUUGGCAAGGUGUCAAGUCCAAGGUUACAGCGCUCUGCUGGCACCCAACCAAGGAAGGUUGCUUAGCUUUUGGAACUGACGAUGGAAAAGUAGGAUUGUAUGACACUUACUCCAACAAGCCUCCACAGAUUUCUAGCACAUAUCAUAAGAAGACUGUUUAUACUUUAGCGUGGGGGCCACCAGUACCCCCGAUGUCACUUGGAGGAGAAGGAGACAGACCUUCCCUUGCUUUAUACAGCUGUGGAGGAGAAGGGAUUGUCUUACAGCAUAACCCUUGGAAGCUUAGUGGAGAGGCCUUUGACAUCAACAAACUCAUCAGAGACAGCAAUUCAAUCAAAUAUAAAUUGCCUGUACACACAGAGAUCAGUUGGAAAGCAGAUGGCAAAAUCAUGGCUCUUGGCAAUGAAGAUGGAACAAUAGAAAUAUUUCAGGUUCCCAACUUGAAACUGAUCUGUACUAUCCAACAGCAUCACAAGCUUGUGAAUACCAUUAGCUGGCAUCAUGAGCAUGGCAGCCAGCCAGAGCUGAGCUAUCUGAUGGCCUCUGGCUCCAACAAUGCAGUCAUUUAUGUGCACAACCUGAAGACUGUCAUAGAGAGCAGCCCUGAGUCUCCAGUGACCAUUACAGAGCCCUAUCGGACUCUCUCGGGGCAUACAGCCAAGAUCACCAGUGUGGCAUGGAGCCCACAUCAUGAUGGAAGGCUGGUAUCUGCUUCCUAUGAUGGUACAGCCCAGGUGUGGGAUACUCUCCGGGAAGAACCCCUGUGUAAUUUCCGAGGACAUCGAGGUCGACUGCUUUGUGUGGCGUGGUCUCCUUUGAACCCAGACUGCAUCUAUUCAGGGGCAGAUGACUUUUGUGUGUACAAGUGGCUCACUUCCAUGCAAGAUCAUUCCCGGCCUCCUCAAGGCAAAAAAAGUAUUGAAUUAGAGAAAAAACGACUCUCUCAACCUAAGCCAAAGCCGAAAAAGAAGAAAAAGCCCACCUUGAGAACUCCUGUAAAGCUGGAAUCGAUAGAUGGGAAUGAAGAAGAAAGCAUGAAGGAGAACUCAGGACCUGUUGAGAAUGGUGUGUCAGACCAAGAAGGGGAGGAGGAAGCACGGGAGCCAGAAUUACCCUGUGGCCUGGCUCCAGCGGUUUCUAGGGAACCAGUUAUCUGCACUCCAAUUUCCUCAAGCUUUGAAAAGUCAAAAGUCACCAUUAAUAACAAAGUCAUUUUCCUGAAAAAGGAGCCACCUAAAGAGAAGCCAGAAACCUUAGUCAAGAAGAGAAAAGCUCGUUCCACGCUUCCCCUGAGUACAAGCCUGGACCACAGAUCCAAAGAGGAGCUUCAUCAGGACUGUUUGGUAUUAGCAAUGGCAAAGCACUCCAAAGAGCUGAAUGAAGAUGUAUCUGCUGAUCUUGAGGAAAGAUUUCAUCUGGGGCUUUUCACAGACAGGGCUACCCUGUACAAAAUGAUUGAUAUUGAAGGAAAAGGUCACUUAGAAAAUGGCCACCCUGAGUUAUUUCACCAGCUUAUGCUUUGGAAAGGAGAUCUCAAAGGUGUUCUCCAGACUGCAGCAGAAAGAGGGGAGCUGACAGACAACCUUGUGGCUAUGGCACCAGCGGCUGGCUACCACGUGUGGCUCUGGGCUGUGGAAGCUUUUGCCAAACAGCUGUGUUUUCAGGAUCAGUAUGUCAAGGCCGCUUCUCACCUACUUUCCAUCCACAAAGUGUAUGAAGCUGUGGCGCUGCUGAAGUCAAACCAUUUUUACAGGGAAGCUAUUGCAGUUGCCAAGGCCCGGCUGCGUCCAGAGGACCCAGUCCUGAAGGACUUGUACCUAAGCUGGGGAACCGUCCUAGAAAGAGAUGGCCAUUAUGCCAUAGCAGCCAAAUGCUACUUAGGGGCCACUUCUGCUUAUGAUGCAGCCAAAGUUUUGGCCAAAAAGGGGGAUGCAGCAUCACUUAGAACAGCUGCAGAGUUGGCUGGCAUCGUAGGAGAGGAUGAGUUGUCUGCUUCCCUGGCUCUCAGAUGUGCCCAAGAGCUGCUUCUGGCCAACAACUGGGUGGGAGCCCAGGAAGCCCUGCAGCUGCAUGCAAGUCUACAGGGUCAGAGAUUGGUGUUUUGCCUUCUGGAGCUACUAUUCAGGCAUCUAGAAGAAAAGCAGCUUUCAGAAGGCAAAAGUUCCUCCUCUUAUCACACUUGGACCAUAGGCACCGAAGGGCCUUUCAUGGAGAGGGUGACUGCAGUGUGGAAGAGCAUCUUCAGCCUUGACACCCCUGAGCAGUAUCAGGAAGCCUUUCAGAAGCUGCAGAACAUCAAGUACCCAUCUGCUACAAAUAAUACACCCUCCAAACAGCUCCUGCUUCAUAUUUGCCAUGACUUGACCCUGGCAGUGCUGAGCCAGCAGAUGGCCUCCUGGGACGAGGCUGUGCAGGCGUUCCUUCGGGCAGUGGUCCGGAGCUAUGACUCAGGGAGCUUCACCAUCAUGCAGGAAGUGUACUCAGCUUUUCUCCCUGACGGCUGUGACCACCUAAAAGACAAAUUGGUUGACCAUCAAUCCCCUGCCAUACCAGCUUUCAAAAGUUUGGAGGCCUUUUUUCUUUAUGGGCGUCUGUAUGAAUUCUGGUGGUCUCUCUCCAGGCCUUGCCCAAAUUCCAGUGUCUGGGUAAGGCCUGGUCACAGCACAUUCUCUGUUGAGCCAAGCCAGCAGUUAGACACUAUCAGCACUGAAGAAACUGACCCUGAAACUUCUCAGCCAGAGCCAAGCAGGCCUUCAGAACUAGACUUGAGACUCACAAAAGAAGGUGAGCGAAUACUGAGCACAUUUAAGGCGCUCCUUUCAGAAAAGCAUGCCAGUCUCCAAAACUCACAGAGAACUGUUGCUGAAGUCCAAGAGACCUUGGCAGAAAUGAUCCGCCAACACCAGAAGAGUCAACUCUGUAAAUCCACAGCAAAUGGUCCUGAUAAGAGUGAACCGGACCUAGAAGCAGAGCCUCUCUCCAGUUCUCAGAGCCAGUGUAAAGAAGAAAAAAACGAGCCACUUUCUCUGCCUGAAUUAACCAAAAGGCUUACAGAGGCCAAUCAGAGAAUGGCGAAAUUUCCCGAGAGUGUUAAGGCCUGGCCCUUCCCGGAUGUGCUGGAGUGCUGCCUCAUCUUCCUUCUCAUCAGGUUCCACUUUCCUGACUGUCUGACCCAGGAAAUGCAGCAGCAGGCCCAAGAGCUCCUUCAGAAAUACGGCAACACUAAAACUUACCAAAGGCACUGCCAGACCUUCUGCACAUGAAUUUUCACAACCUUGAAGAAACUGCCAAAUUGAAAAUGUUUGACACCUUUCACUUCUGCAGUUACACCUCACCAGGCAUUCACUCUGGUCCCUGAUGUUUUUGCAGUAAUCCAAAAGAUUACAAAUGAGGGCUAAGUUUGAAUUAACUCUACCUAACGAUAGACACAGUGGAUCUGACUUUAGAUUCAAUUGUAGUCUCCUCCUGGAGGGAAGAUCAUGAAAAGCUAGCAGUAGUUCCUCAGAACAAAUACCUGCAGAGUAUUGGUCAUCUCUAAAGCCUUAUGCAGGUUUCACCCAAAGAGGAGAAGCUUCUCUCAUCACCCAAAGUGUUAACUUGCUUAAAACACAAGCUACCUUUAUAAAUACUUCAUCUGAUCAGAAACAUGUCAUGCUUGAGAUGGAGUUGCUCCAUUUUAUGACUUUUUAAAAUUGUUUUUAUAAUAUUUAAUGUGAAAGAAGAGAACCUUCCCCCUCUACUCUUCCAUAGAUUGAAGUUUGAAUAUGAAAUAGGCCUUAACCUUCAUGUUGACUCUCCUGUCUGAAUUUUAGGUUUGCUGGAAGGAAAAGCAGGGAAAAUAGAGAAGUGGGAGACGAAAAUGGAGAAGUGGGAGAAUCCAGAUGACCAGCUGAAAUCACAUUACUGAAAGUACAAUAGACAUGACCCAAAAAUCUGAUCUUACUAGUUUCCUUCAGGAUCAAAUCCAGGAUAUUAUACAAAAAUUUCAAAUGAUUUCAGAUGAUGCAUAUGUGACAGCAAACCUCAGUGGCACAAAGGAACACAUAGACUUAAAGAUGCUUCAGUGGUCAACAAUCAUUCUGGAGUUCUCAUGAAUGAAGGGUAGACAGAUUCAGUAAAUUGUUUGCUUUUAUGUUUCAUUAUCUGGUCUUCAAAUUUCAGCAUUGAGCAAUUCAUUUCCAUAUAGUAACAAGUAAAGAAAGACUAUGAAAGUGUGAGGAAAGCAAAUGUCUUCGAGACGGGUCAGAAAAGGAAAGGAAGACGGUAUCUGUGAACACCAUUUUGUUCCAUUUUCCCUGGAAGCCCUCAGCUCAGCUGAGAAUCAGAACAAGAAUCUUCAUUACCAGAGUAGCAACGAAUUUUUUUAAAAAAGAAUGACAACAGGUUCAUGGGGCUCGAGUGAAGAAUGCCUGCCUUAGGAUGACAGAAGCAGAGGGUUCCCUUCAUGGCCAGGUUAAAGAUUGUUACCACACAAGUAUCUGUGAGAUCGGCUGUUAUACCCUGUCCACCACCACACUGGCAUCUAGUACUCAAUAAUGCAUGCUGAACACACAACAAUAAAGCAAAGUCAGCUUUU